GUAGUUCUACGUGUAGAGCUGAAAUGCGCAUAGAUAUGGAGAGACACCAGAGUGGAGAGCGACUCUCUGGUCUGUGUAAGACACUGAGAUGCGAGAGAGUGGGGAUCGCACACGAUUAGAGACCCCGGUAGUCCACACGCUGUAAGCUGAGAGUUAAGAGUUAGGGAGUGUCUGCCCCUUACAGUUGCACAUAAAACGCUAAGCACUCUCCGCGGGGAGAGUGACCCCAAGGUUGAAAAUCUAAGGAAUUGAGGGGGACCCCCACACGAGGUGGAGCGCGUGGUUUAAUUUGCAGCAACACGAAGAACCCUACCACAUCUUGACAUCUCUUGACACCUCUAUAGAUAGAGCCUUUCCCUUUGGGGGACAAAGUGACAGGUGGUGCAUGGUUGUCGUCAGCUCGUGUCGUGAGAUGUUGGGUUAAGUCCCGCAACGAGCGCAACCCUUAAGGUUAGUUGCCAUCAUUAAGUUGGGCACUCUAACUAGACUGCCGGUGACAAACCGGAGGAAGGUGGGGAUGACGUCAAAUCAUCAUGCCCCUUAUGACUUGGGCUACACACGUGCUACAAUGGGCAAUACAAAGGGCAGCUAAGCCGCGAGGUCAAGCAAAUCCCAUAAACUUGUUCUCAGUUCGGAUUGUAGUCUGCAACUCGCACUACAUGAAACCGGAAUCGCUAGUAAUCGUGUAAUUCCGCCCG
RNAcentral lists this ribosomal RNA (698 nucleotides) under Staphylococcus sp. RNAcentral describes it as "bacterial SSU rRNA". It matches the Rfam family "Bacterial small subunit ribosomal RNA", at positions 663 to 1356 of the family's 1533-position model. The record is from RNAcentral. Lineage: Bacteria; Bacillati; Bacillota; Bacilli; Caryophanales; Staphylococcaceae.